This 480-nucleotide ribosomal RNA is filed under the name Limosilactobacillus vaginalis. RNAcentral's name for it is "bacterial SSU rRNA". It matches the Rfam family "Bacterial small subunit ribosomal RNA", at positions 28 to 470 of the family's 1533-position model. Lineage: Bacteria; Bacillati; Bacillota; Bacilli; Lactobacillales; Lactobacillaceae. The record is from RNAcentral.
GAUGAACGCCGGCGGUGUGCCUAAUACAUGCAAGUCGAGCGCACUGGCCCAGCUGAUAUGACGUGCUUGCACUGAUUUGACGAUGGAUUACCAGUGAGCGGCGGACGGGUGAGUAACACGUGGGCAACCUGCCCUGGAGCGGGGGAUAACAUCUGGAAACAGGUGCUAAUACCGCAUGACUACUAAAACCACCUGGUUUUAGUAUAAAAGAAGGCUUCGGCUUUCACUUUAGGAUGGGCCCGCGGUGCAUUAGCUAGUUGGUAAGGUAACGGCUUACCAAGGCGAUGAUGCAUAGCCGAGUUGAGAGACUGAUCGGCCACAAUGGAACUGAGACACGGUCCAUACUCCUACGGGAGGCAGCAGUAGGGAAUCUUCCACAAUGGGCGCAAGCCUGAUGGAGCAACACCGCGUGAGUGAAGAAGGGUUUCGGCUCGUAAAGCUCUGUUGUUGAAGAAGAACGUGCGUGAGAGUAACUGUUCA